This 348-nucleotide ribosomal RNA is filed under the name uncultured Bacteroidota bacterium. RNAcentral's name for it is "bacterial SSU rRNA". It matches the Rfam family "Bacterial small subunit ribosomal RNA", at positions 607 to 957 of the family's 1533-position model. The record is from RNAcentral. Lineage: Bacteria; Pseudomonadati; Bacteroidota.
GCUCAACUGUAAAAUUGCCAUUGAUACUGGGUUUCUUGAAUUAGUGUGAAGUGAUUAGAAUGUGUAGUGUAGCGGUGAAAUGCAUAGAUAUUACACAGAAUACCAAUUGCGAAGGCAGAUCACUAACACUAUAUUGACGCUGAGGGACGAAAGCGUGGGGAGCGAACAGGAUUAGAUACCCUGGUAGUCCACGCCGUAAACGAUGGAUACUAGCUGUUCGGUCUUCGGAUUGAGUGGCUAAGCGAAAGUGAUAAGUAUCCCACCUGGGGAGUACGUUCGCAAGAAUGAAACUCAAAGGAAUUGACGGGGGCCCGCACAAGCGGUGGAGCAUGUGGUUUAAUUCGAUGA